UACGAAGGGGGCUAGCGUUGCUCGGAAUCACUGGGCGUAAAGGGUGCGUAGGCGGGUCUUUAAGUCAGACGUGAAAUCCCCAGGCUUAACCUGGGAACUGCGUCUGAUACUGGAUGGCUUGAAUUCGGGAGAGGGAUGCAGAAUUCCAGGUGUAGCGGUGAAAUGCGUAGAUAUCUGGAGGAAUACCGGUGGCGAAGGCGGCAUCCUGGACCGAGAUUGACACUGAUGAGCGAAAGCCAGGGGAGCAAACAGG
RNAcentral lists this ribosomal RNA (253 nucleotides) under uncultured bacterium. Its description in RNAcentral is "partial 16S ribosomal RNA". It matches the Rfam family "Bacterial small subunit ribosomal RNA", at positions 524 to 776 of the family's 1533-position model. The record is from RNAcentral.